Non-coding RNA from Danio rerio (zebrafish), 4543 nucleotides. Lineage: Eukaryota; Metazoa; Chordata; Actinopteri; Cypriniformes; Danionidae. The record is from RefSeq and is a predicted model, not a curated record.
UAUUUAGACUAAAAACAAGACAUUUUUUUAAGUGUACUGUAGUUCAUGUUAACAUUAACUAACAUUUACUAAUGAAACCUUUUUUAAAGUGUGACCGUUUUAGGAAUAAAAUCAAACAGAAGCUCACGAUUGACAUUUUAAAAGGGUCAGUUCACUCAUCAAGUGAAUCUUUUUUCACACUCAAGUGAUUCAAAACGUUUAUAAGCUUCUUUUGUUGAACACAAAACAAUAUAUUCUGAUGAAUGCUGACAUCCAUAAUGAGACAAAAAAUACUAUGAAAGUCAAUGACAUUUUUUAGAAUAUCUUUCUGUGUGUUAAACAGAGACAAGGACAAGUGGUGGAUGCUUAAACGAUGGCAUAGUUUUCAUUAUUGGGUGAACUGUCUCUUUAAAUGUCCCGAAAGGUUAAACAAAAGCAGCCGUCAGAAAACAAAGCACAAGUGGAUCAACACUGAUGAUGUAAACCAGCUCCUGGCUAACAGGUUUAGAUACAGACUAAUCCAAUCAUAUCGUGUUUCUCCUUUCAGCACAGGGAUUUUAAGUUCUGCUAAAUGUUCUGAUAAUGGACCCGGACGGUGCUGCUUGCAGGAGGUUUGUGAGUGUGAUUGUUUACAUCAGGGAUCUGAAUCCACUUUUAUUUUUUAGCCAUUUUUAUACUCGCAGAAGUUUGCUUAAGGCUUUGAGUAUUAACAAAUGCUUUACAAAAACGAAGGUUUCGGCUCAUUUUAAAGUAGGUUUUGCUCACAACUUUAACCCGCUGAUGUGUGUCAGUCUUUAAGAUUUCUUGUGCUAUUUCAGGACUAAAUCAUUUUUUAUAAAAAAGAUCACUCAAUUAAAACCAAGAAGUUCAUUUUCAUCUCACUAAACGCUUGAGGUCAUUUGUGUUAUUGUGAAAUUCACAUUCGCACAGAUUGUCAAAUUUGACCCCAAAUAAAUCGACUUAAAUAAGCGAUUAUAUUUUGCUUAAAGAAAAUGUACUUUUUUUUUUACAAUCUGACAUUACUUUCAUUGUAAUAAAGCAGAUUUAACCACUAAUUCUCAUCACUGUAACAAUGAUAUUAUUUAUAAUUACGUAGUUACAGUAUAUCAUGGUUAUAUUUAUUGUGGUGCCUUUAUUUUACACAUCCAUUAUUGCACAUUGUUUAUUUAUAUAUAUCGAAAUGCACACAUGAAAGUAAUGUCAGAAUGGACUCAGUUUUCUUCAUGCAAAAUCAUAUUCCUUAUUUGCAUCUUUUGGUUUUUGGGUGUGAAAUGCGACCUGAAUUAGUUUCGUGAGAUUUCUCCAAGCAAUUAUUCAUGCAAGCAGAUUCUUAAAUACAUAUGAUGAUGUGCAGAUACACCUGAAGUGAAGCAAGGAUUGAUUUCGAAGAGAUGUUCAUUAAUUUAUGUGUCCUUUUUAUUGGUUUAUCUGUAAAUGUGAGCCAUCAAUGCUGAUCGGAGAUGCUUCUUCAAAUCAAGUGAAAGCACAGCACUGUAAUAUUCUGUACAUUUAUUUCUCAUCUUUUCUUCUGUGCGGGACUGAUGAAUGUAAUGAGGUUUAGUUUUUCCAGCAUGCUUUUCUUUAAAUGAAGGAAAAAUGGCCGUCAGACACUCAACACAACAUCUCAUAUCAGCUCUACAAAUCUGACACUAAGCAGAAUCACAGGAGUGACUCACUUCAAAAUAAAAUUUGGUCAUUAUUUAUACUCUCAUGAUGUCAUUUGCACAAGUAUGCUGUUUCAUUUUUAUUUUUUUUUUUAAGAAAGAUUGGUCAUGCUUUAGUUUAAAAUAUGAUUCUAACUAUUGUGAAUUUAAUAAUAAACUCCUAAUUUGCUGCUUAUUGAUAGUUAUUAAGGCAGCAGUUGGAUUUAAAUGUUGGGUCGGAUUAGGGAUGUAGAUUAAUAUCAUGCAGAAUAUGUACUUUAUUAGUAUUAAUAAACAUCCAGUAUCUUAAUAACAGGCACGUCAUAAUGCACUAGUUAAUAGUGAGACUUAAAGGGAUAGUUCACACAAAAAUUGUCAACUUACUCACAAUUCACUUGUAUCACAAAGUUUAUUUUUUCUGUUGAACACAAAACCUGUAACCAUUGACUUCCAUAGUAUUAAUUUUUUCUGCUAUGUUUUGCCAAUGGGUAUCAAAAUGUCUUCAUUAGUGAUUUGUAACACCUUGCAAGGGAGUAAAUUGUGAGUAAAGUUUCAUUUUUGGGUGAACUAUCCCUUUAAUUGUUACAAUCUCCAAAAUAAAGGUAUAAUCUGUCACUGAGGCAGUACUAAGAUGCUAAUACCUUUAUAGUAAAAUAUGCACCCUUAAGAUACUAAUAUACAACUUUAGGGUACCAAUACUGAGCCUUGAGGCACUAAGAUACAACUUUAGGGUACCAAUUUUGAGCCUUUAGGUACUAAUAUACAACUUUAAGGUACCAAUUUUGAGCCUUUAGGUACUAAUAUACAACUUUAAGGUACCAAUUUUGAGCCUUUAGGUACUAAUAUACAACUUUAAGGUACCAAUUUUGAGCCUUUAGGUACUAAUAUACAACUUUAGGGUACCAAUUUUAAGCCUUUAGGUACUAAUAUUCAACUUUAAGGUACCAAUUUUGAGCCUCGAAGUACUAAUAUACAACUUUAAGGUACCAAUACUGAGCCCUGAGAUACUAAUAUACAACUUUAAGGUAUUAAUACUGAGCCCUGAGGUACUAAUAUACAACAUUAAGGUACCAAUACUGAGCCUUGAGGUACUAAUAUAAAACUUAAGGUACUAAUAUUUAGCCUUAAGGUACAAAGAUACAAUUUAAGGUUCCAAUACUGAGCCUUGAGAUGGUAAUAUACAACAUUAAGGUGCCAAUACUGAACCUUGAGGUAGUAAUUUACUACAUUAGGGUACCAAUACUGAACCUUGUGGUACUAAUAUACAACUUUAAGGUACUAAUACUGAGCCCUGAGGUACUAAUAUACAACUAUCAGGUACCAAUAACGAGCCUUGAGGUACUAAUAUACAACUUUAAGGUACAAAUGCUCAGCCUUGAGUUACUAAUAUACAACUUUUACGUAAAAAUAUGGACUCUUUUCUGACAGUGUACCCAUUUUAUUUUUAAACAAACUUUAUGCUGAUUGUAAACGCAAACUAAAAAUAAAAGUGAAUUUUGCGGAUCAUUUUCUAAAAGUCACAGGAUUUACGAUAUAUAUCUUAAUGCACAUAGAGUAUUUUUUUCAUGAUACAUUUUAAAUCAUGUUUGGUGGCUUUAAUUGUUCUUGUAUCAAACAACUUGCCCAAAGAGGAAUGUUUUGUGUGUACUUUUUUAUACUUUUCAUUGAAAAGAAUCUUUAAUAUCUCUUUUUUUUAAUAACUCUUUCAUUCUGAGUCUUUAAUAAUCUAAAAUCAUUGGUUCUUUUUAUGGAAUGUUUUUCACGAAGUGCUUCAAAACAUUCUGAGAAAACGUUAAAGUAUCAUUUAUUUCCAAAUAUUAUAAAAUUAAAUGUUUCGUUAAUGACAUUUCAGCUUAUUUGGGAUGUUAGAUUUUUUUAAAUGACCUUCAACGUGGAAAGAGCAUAAAGACUAACCCAAACUGCAUCAUUUAGUGAAACAACAUGAGAGAGUAAAUAAUGACACAAUUUUCAUUAUGAGAUGAAGAAUGUCUGUGAAGUGUCAGAUUGAUUGAACACACUCCUCUGAGUUUAAUAACAUCAUCGCACACAACAGACUGACUCUAGUUAGUGAUACUAGUUAUUUCUUCAGAGUAUUAUUGCUCUAGUAUCAGUUUUGCCUUUCUGUGUCUGAAUUAAGCUUGUUUUUAUGUAUAUUUUUGUGUUGUACUAGGGCAGAAUUUCUCCAUCCCGAUCCUCGCGCUACACCGAUUUGCAUAUUUUGCAUGUUUCCCGGCUGAUUUAGAUCACUAGCUCUUUAGAAGAGUUGUUCCCUACACAGUGUGCAUUCUUCCCUAGUCCCUUCUCCUUCAUUACUGUCUCCCAGAGCACAAGAAACCUUUAUUUAACUUUUAAACAUUCGUUAACGAAUUUACACAACAGCACUGCCUACAGCGUCUUACUAAAGAAACAUGAAGUGUGACCUUUGUAAAUAAACACAAUAUAAAUUAACAUAUAGCACACUAAGAUGCCAUUUCAGUGCAGCAUCUAUGCUCACCUCAAACUGAGUCGCCUUCGCAGGGCACUUGUUGUUGAAUUAAAACAAAUGUUUGAUGUGAGAUAAGCAUCUAAAAAAUGUGCAGAGCUGUGGAGCGUGAGGACCGGCAUUGAGAAACAGUGCUCUGGGGAUAUUAAAGCACAUGUACAGCCGCACUGCAUGUCUGUUAUGUUUGUUUCUGCUGUAACUGUGAAUUAACUCUUGUUGUGUUUGCCAUGUAAAUACGUUGCUAAAUUAUUUCUCGUUUGCCAUCGAGGUACAUUGCGGUUUAUCAGCAAAAAGGCUGAUUCUUCUUGUACAGACAUUAAAUGCCAGUGAACACACGUUUGUGUGAGGAAAUCCAUACUUGAGAAGAUUACUAUCAGUUCUGAUAUUUUCAUUCCUCUGACAUUCAGAUAUCAGAUUGUAGCAGGAAGAAACCUCUUGU